RNAcentral lists this unclassified non-coding RNA (255 nucleotides) under Allomyces arbusculus. Its description in RNAcentral is "partial internal transcribed spacer region". The stretch from base 1 to 46 matches the Rfam family "Eukaryotic small subunit ribosomal RNA", at positions 1786 to 1831 of the family's 1831-position model. The record is from RNAcentral. Lineage: Eukaryota; Fungi; Blastocladiomycota; Blastocladiomycetes; Blastocladiales; Blastocladiaceae.
AAGUCGUAACAAGGUUUCCGUAGGUGAACCUGCGGAAGGAUCAUUAUUAAUUCUUCUGGCAGCUGCGCGCGUUAAAACCGCAGCUGUUCUUUCUUGUGAACUGGGGUUACUGUUAAAAAAGCUUUAAAACGCCUUUUUUCAGUAACUCGUCGUUAAUGCUCUUGUGUUAAUUUUUUUUUGUUUUUGCUUUUUUAAGCUUAACCGCUUAAGAAAAUAAUUACAAGACAACUUUCAGCAAUGGAUCUCUUGGCUCUU